GCCAGGUGUGGUGGCACACACCUAUAGUCCCAGCUACUCCAGAGGCUGAGUUGGGAGGAUCACUUGAGUCCAGGAGUUCUGAGCUACAUGGCUCUGUGUAAUCAGGUGGCCGCACUAAGUUCGGCAUCAAUAUGGUGACCUCCCAGGAGCAGGGGACCACCAGGCUGCCUAAGGAGGGAUGAACGGGCCCAAGUCAGAAACAGAGCCGGUCAAAACUCCCAUACUGAUCAGUAAAUUUAGACUCCUGUACUCUCUCAUGUGUGUCAUAUGUGUGAGGUGAAACUAAAAAU
This is an unclassified non-coding RNA of Fukomys damarensis (Damara mole-rat), 290 nucleotides long. It matches the Rfam family "Metazoan signal recognition particle RNA". Rfam says of the family: The signal recognition particle (SRP) is a universally conserved ribonucleoprotein. It is involved in the co-translational targeting of proteins to membranes. The eukaryotic SRP consists of a 300-nucleotide 7S RNA and six proteins: SRPs 72, 68, 54, 19, 14, and 9. Lineage: Eukaryota; Metazoa; Chordata; Mammalia; Rodentia; Bathyergidae. The record is from Ensembl.